GCGUUCAUGGUCUAACGGUUAGGAUUGUUGCCUUCCAAGCAAUAGGCUCGGGUUCGACUCCCGAUGAACGCA
Non-coding RNA from Rhizodiscina lignyota, 72 nucleotides. Lineage: Eukaryota; Fungi; Ascomycota; Dothideomycetes; Aulographales; Rhizodiscinaceae. The record is from the annotation of a GenBank genome assembly.